Molecule: ribosomal RNA, 254 nt
Filed under: uncultured bacterium
Lineage: Bacteria
Description: partial 16S ribosomal RNA
Rfam family: Bacterial small subunit ribosomal RNA
Source: RNAcentral
CACGGGUGAGUAACACGUAUCCAACCUGCCGUCUACUCUUGGACAGCCUUCUGAAAGGAAGAUUAAUACAAGAUGGCAUCAUGAGUCCGCAUGUUCACAUGAUUAAAGGUAUUCCGGUAGACGAUGGGGAUGCGUUCCAUUAGAUAGUAGGCGGGGUAACGGCCCACCUAGUCUUCGAUGGAUAGGGGUUCUGAGAGGAAGGUCCCCCACAUUGGAACUGAGACACGAUCCAAACUCCUACGGGAGGCAGCAUG